GCAAACUUGGUCAUUUAGAGGAAGUAAAAGUCGUAACAAGGUUUCCGUAGGUGAACCUGCGGAAGGAUCAUUAACUAUGCCGUCCGGCCUUACCCGCCGGAAGGUGGUUUCAACCGCUCCUCCACGCUGUGUCCGCUGCCGUAAGGCCGCGGCCAGACGUGGAUCGGGUACCAACCCUUUUGUGAACCUUCUACCUUCUGCUUCGGCAGCGCGGUCGACCCACCCGUCGGCCGGUAAGGCUGCCGAUAGCCAUUUACAUUAAAAUCCAUUACAUGUUGUCUCAACAGUGAAGUCUGACCAUUUAUGAAUAUUUUUCAAGCAAAAGUUAAAACUUUCAGCAACGGAUCUCUUGGUUCCCGCAUCGAUGAAGAACGCAGC
This 378-nucleotide unclassified non-coding RNA is filed under the name uncultured fungus. RNAcentral's name for it is "partial contains small subunit ribosomal RNA, internal transcribed spacer 1, and 5.8S ribosomal RNA". The stretch from base 1 to 73 matches the Rfam family "Eukaryotic small subunit ribosomal RNA", at positions 1759 to 1831 of the family's 1831-position model. The record is from RNAcentral. Lineage: Eukaryota; Fungi.